AUUCCAGCUCCAAUAGCGUAUAUUAAGGUUGUUGCAGUUAAAAAGCUCGUAGUUGGAUUUCUGGCGUGAGGCGACUGUUCCUAGGCUCUAUGCCUAGUGUAACAGAUCGCCUCGGCCAUCCUUCUGGAAAACGGCCCUGCUCUUCAUUGAGUUGGGGUCGGGAUCCAGAUCUUUUACUUUGAAAAAAUUAGAGUGUUUAAAGCAGGCUUAUGCCUUGAAUACAUUAGCAUGGAAUAAUAAUUUAGGACUUUGGUUCUAUUUUGUUGGUUUCUAGAACUGAAGUAAUGAUUGAUAGGGAUAGUUGGGGGUGCUAGUAUUGGCCGGCCAGAGGUGAAAUUCUUGGAUUCGGUCAAGACUAACUUAUGCGAAAGCAUUCACCAAGGAUGUCUUCAUCA
RNAcentral lists this ribosomal RNA (395 nucleotides) under Thaumatomastigidae sp. RNAcentral's name for it is "partial small subunit ribosomal RNA". It matches the Rfam family "Eukaryotic small subunit ribosomal RNA", at positions 582 to 975 of the family's 1831-position model. The record is from RNAcentral. Lineage: Eukaryota; Cercozoa; Imbricatea; Thaumatomonadida; Thaumatomastigidae.